UGGGGAAUAUUGGACAAUGGGCGCAAGCCUGAUCCAGCAAUGCCGCGUGUGUGAAGAAGGCCUUCGGGUUGUAAAGCACUUUUAUCAGGAGCGAAACGCUGUCGGCUAAUACCCGGCGGAACUGACGGUACCUGAGGAAUAAGCACCGGCUAACUUCGUGCCAGCAGCCGCGGUAAUACGAAGGGUGCAAGCGUUAAUCGGAAUUACUGGGCGUAAAGCGUGCGUAGGCGGUUUCUUAAGUCUGCUGUGAAAUCCCCGGGCUCAACCUGGGAAUGGCAGUGGAUACUGGGAGGCUAGAGUGUGUCAGAGGGUGGUGGAAUUCCCGGUGUAGCGGUGAAAUGCGUAGAGAUCGGGAGGAACAUCAGUGGCGAAGGCGGCCACCUGGGACAACACUGACGCUGAGGCACGAAAGCGUGGGGGAGCAAACAGGAUUAGAUACCCUGGUAGUCCACGCCCUAAACGAUGCGAACUGGAUGUUGGUCUCAACUCGGAGAUCAGUGUCGAAGCUAACGCGUUAAGUUCGCCGCCUGGGGAGUACGGUCGCAAGACUGAAACUUAAAUGAAUUGACGGGGUCAUAGCUGUUUCCUG
RNAcentral lists this ribosomal RNA (589 nucleotides) under uncultured bacterium. RNAcentral describes it as "partial 16S ribosomal RNA". It matches the Rfam family "Bacterial small subunit ribosomal RNA", at positions 355 to 1376 of the family's 1533-position model. The record is from RNAcentral.